Molecule: long non-coding RNA, 348 nt
Filed under: Gossypium barbadense (sea-island cotton)
Lineage: Eukaryota; Viridiplantae; Streptophyta; Magnoliopsida; Malvales; Malvaceae
Description: long non-coding RNA (GBAR_LNC014589)
Source: RNAcentral
UUCCUGGAAUAAUCAGAUUUAGACUGAAAAAAAUUUAUUAGAAUUUAACUAAGAGAAGAAACUCGGUUAAGUGGGGAACAUGUCGCCACGUCGUGACGUCACUAUCGGCUCGUCGGGAUGUAGUGUUACUUCUCGCCGGUACAUUAUAGUCACGUCGCCGGGAUGACGAAUCUUCUUCAUCACGACAUCAACUCUGUUUCAUCUUAAAUGCGAGUCACACUCCAUAUAUAUAUAUAAUUGUUAUGGUUGAUGAAGAAAUUGCAGAACAUGCAUAGACAUAUUUGAAGAAGAUGAGCCUGUGGAUGUCAAUGUGCAAUUUCGUGGCUGCAAUUACAACGGGCAAAAAAG